GAUGAACGCCGGCGGUGUGCCUAAUACAUGCAAGUCGAACGCGUUGGCCCAAUUGAUUGACGGUGCUUGCACCUGAUUGAUUUUGGUCGUCAACGAGUGGCGGACGGGUGAGUAACACGUAGGUAACCUGCCCAGAAGCGGGGGACAACAUUUGGAAACAGAUGCUAAUACCGCAUAACAACGUUGUUCGCAUGAACAACGCUUAAAAGAUGGCUUCUCGCUAUCACUUCUGGAUGGACCUGCGGUGCAUUAGCUUGUUGGUGGGGUAAUGGCCUACCAAGGCGAUGAUGCAUAGCCGAGUUGAGAGACUGAUCGGCCACAAUGGGACUGAGACACGGCCCAUACUCCUACGGGAGGCAGCAGUAGGGAAUCUUCCACAAUGGGCGCAAGCCUGAUGGAGCAACACCGCGUGAGUGAAGAAGGGUUUCGGCUCGUAAAGCUCUGUUGUUAAAGAAGAACACGUAUGAGAUUAACUGUUCAUACGUUGACGGUAUUUAACCAGAAAGUCACGGCUAACUACGUGCCAGCAGCCGCGGUAAUACGUAGGUGGCAAGCGUUAUCCGGAUUUAUUGGGCGUAAAGAGAGUGCAGGCGGUUUUCUAAGUCUGAUGUGAAAGCCUUCGGCUUAACCGGAGAAGUGCAUCGGAAACUGGAUAACUUGAGUGCAGAAGAGGGUAGUGGAACUCCAUGUGUAGCGGUGGAAUGCGUAGAUAUAUGGAAGAACACCAGUGGCGAAAGCGGCUACCUGGUCUGCAACUGACGCUGAGACUCGAAAGCAUGGGUAGCGAACAGG
This 792-nucleotide ribosomal RNA is filed under the name uncultured Lactobacillus sp. RNAcentral's name for it is "bacterial SSU rRNA". It matches the Rfam family "Bacterial small subunit ribosomal RNA", at positions 28 to 776 of the family's 1533-position model. The record is from RNAcentral. Lineage: Bacteria; Bacillati; Bacillota; Bacilli; Lactobacillales; Lactobacillaceae.